This 387-nucleotide ribosomal RNA is filed under the name Gaillardiellus orientalis. RNAcentral describes it as "partial 12S ribosomal RNA". Lineage: Eukaryota; Metazoa; Arthropoda; Malacostraca; Decapoda; Xanthidae. The record is from RNAcentral.
UUAGAUACCCUACUAUACUGAUAAAUCCCUUAAUUAUUAAUAGGUAUAGUCUUUAAAUUUAAAGAAUUUGGCGGUGAUUUAAUCUUAUUAGAGGAAUCUGUUUUUAAAUCGAUAAACCACGUAAAAUCUUACUCGUUUUAGUUUAGCUUGUAUACCGUCAUUAUCAGAUGAUUUUUAAAAAUCGUGUAAUCAUUGUAAUUUAUAAAAGUAUAAAUUAAAUUAGAUCAAGGUGUAGCUUAUAAAUGAGUUAAAAUGGAUUACAAUAAAGUAUAUUUAAUACGAAAUAAUUAUAAGAAUAAAUGUUAUGAAGGAGGAUUUAAUUGUAAUAGGAAUUUAAUAAGUUCUUAAGAUAUAAGCACUAAAUUAUGUACAUAUCGCCCGUCGCUA